UUGAACGCUGGCGGCAUGCUUUACACAUGCAAGUCGAACGGCAGCGCGGGCUUCGGCCUGGCGGCGAGUGGCGAACGGGUGAGUAAUGCAUCGGAACGUGCCCAGUAGUGGGGGAUAGCCCGGCGAAAGCCGGAUUAAUACCGCAUACGACCUGAGGGUGAAAGCGGGGGACCGAAAGGCCUCGCGCUAUUGGAGCGGCCGAUGUCGGAUUAGCUAGUUGGUGGGGUAAAGGCUUACCAAGGCGACGAUCCGUAGCUGGUCUGAGAGGACGACCGGCCACACUGGGACUGAGACACGGCCCAGACUCCUACGGGAGGCAGCAGUGGGGAAUUUUGGACAAAGGGGGCAACCCUGAUCCAGCCAUGCCGCGUGCGGGAAGAAGGCCUUCGGGUUGUAAACCGCUUUUGUUCGGGAAGAAAUCCUCUGGGCUAAUACCCCGGGGGGAUGACGGUACCGGAAGAAUAAGCACCGGCUAACUACGUG
RNAcentral lists this ribosomal RNA (483 nucleotides) under uncultured bacterium. RNAcentral describes it as "partial 16S ribosomal RNA". It matches the Rfam family "Bacterial small subunit ribosomal RNA", at positions 29 to 507 of the family's 1533-position model. The record is from RNAcentral.